RNAcentral lists this ribosomal RNA (500 nucleotides) under uncultured bacterium. Its description in RNAcentral is "partial 16S ribosomal RNA". It matches the Rfam family "Bacterial small subunit ribosomal RNA", at positions 28 to 507 of the family's 1533-position model. The record is from RNAcentral.
GACGAACGCUGGCGGCGUGCCUAAUACAUGCAAGUCGUGCGGACCUUGUUGAAAGCUUGCUUUUAAAAGGUUAGCGGCGGACGGGUGAGUAACACGUGGGCAACCUGCCUGUAAGACUGGGAUAACGCCGGGAAACCGGGGCUAAUACCAGAUCGUUUUUUCCUCCGCAUGGAGGAAAAAGGAAAGGCGGCUUCGGCUGCCACUUACAGAUGGGCCCGCGGCGCAUUAGCUAGUUGGCGGGGUAAUGGCCCACCAAGGCAACGAUGCGUAGCCGACCUGAGAGGGUGAUCGGCCACAUUGGGCCUGAGACACGGCCCAAACUCCUACGGGAGGCAGCAGUAGGGAAUCUUCCGCAAUGGACGAAAGUCUGACGGAGCAACGCCGCGUGAGUGAAGAAGGCCUUCGGGUCGUAAAACUCUGUUGCCGGGGAAGAACAAGUGCCGUUCGAACAGGGCGGCGCCUUGACGGUACCCGGCCAGAAAGCCACGGCUAACUACGUG